AGAGUUUGAUCAUGGCUCAGGAUGAACGCUGGCGGUCUGCCUAACACAUGCAAGUCGAACGGGCUCCUCGGAGCUAGUGGCGGACGGGUGAGUAACGCGUGAGAAUCUGCCUUCAGGACGGGGACAACCACCGGAAACAGUGGCUAAAACCCGAUGUGCCCAAAGGUGAAAAAUUAAUUGCCUGAAGAUGAGCUCGCGUCUGAUUAGCUAGUUGGCGGGGUAAAAGCCCACCAAGGCGACGAUCAGUAGCUGGUCUGAGAGGAUGAGCAGCCACACUGGGACUGAGACACGGCCCAGACUCCUACGGGAGGCAGCAGUGGGGAAUUUUCCGCAAUGGGCGAAAGCCUGACGGAGCAAGACCGCGUGAGGGAGGAAGGCCCUUGGGUUGUAAACCUCUUUUGUCUGGGAAGAAGUACUGACGGUACCAGAGGAAUCAGCAUCGGCUAACUCCGUGCCAGCAGCCGCGGUAAUACGGAGGAUGCAAGCGUUAUCCGGAAUUAUUGGGCGUAAAGAGUCCGUAGGUGGUCAUGCAAGUCUGCCGUCAAAGCAUGGAGCUUAACUCCAUAAAGGCGGUGGAAACUGUGAGACUAGAGUCUAGGAGGGGUAGAGGGAAUUCCCAGUGUAGCGGUGAAAUGCGUAGAGAUUGGGAAGAACACCGGUGGCGAAAGCGCUCUACUGGACUAGAACUGACACUGAGGGACGAAAGCUAGGGUAGCGAAAGGGAUUAGAUACCCCUGUAGUCCUAGCCGUAAACGAUGGAUACUAGGCGUAGCACGUAUCGACCCGAGCUGUGCCGAAGCUAACGCGUUAAGUAUCCCGCCUGGGGAGUACGCACGCAAGUGUGAAACUCAAAGGAAUUGACGGGGGCCCGCACAAGCGGUGGAGUAUGUGGUUUAAUUCGAUGCAACGCGAAGAACCUUACCAAGGCUUGACAUCCGACGAAUCUCCCUGAAAAGGGAGAGUGCCUUCGGGAGCGUCGUGACAGGUGGUGCAUGGCUGUCGUCAGCUCGUGUCGUGAGAUGUUGGGUUAAGUCCCGCAACGAGCGCAACCCUCGUCCUUAGUUGCCCAUAUUAAGUUAGGAACUCUAGGGAGACUGCCGGGGACAACUCGGAGGAAGGUGGGGAUGACGUCAAGUCAGCAUGCCCCUUACGUCUUGGGCUACACACGUACUACAAUGGUCGGGACAACGAGCAGCGAAGCCGCAAGGUGUAGCGAAUCUCAACAAACCCGGCCUCAGUUCAGAUUGGGGGCUGCAACUCGCCCCCAUGAAGGAGGAAUCGCUAGUAAUCGCAGGUCAGCAUACUGCGGUGAAUCCGUUCCCGGGUCUUGUACACACCGCCCGUCACACCAUGGGAGUGGAAUCUGCCAGAAGUAGGUAGCCUAACCGCAAGGAGGGCGCUUACCACGGUGGGUUUCAUGACUGGGGUGAAGUCGUAACAAGGUAACC
RNAcentral lists this ribosomal RNA (1448 nucleotides) under uncultured bacterium. RNAcentral describes it as "bacterial SSU rRNA". It matches the Rfam family "Bacterial small subunit ribosomal RNA". The record is from RNAcentral.